AUACAGAGGGUGCGAGCGUUAAUCGGAAUUACUGGGCGUAAAGCGCGCGUAGGCGGCUUAUUAAGUCAGAUGUGAAAUCCCCGGGCUCAACCUGGGAACUGCAUCUGAUGCUGGUAAGCUAGAGUUUUGGAGAGGGAAGUAGAAUUUCAGGUGUAGCGGUGAAAUGCAUAGAGAUCUGAAGGAAUACCAGUGGCGAAGGCGACUUCCUGGCCAAAAACUGACGCUGAGGUGCGAAAGCGUGGGUAGCAAACGGGAUUAGAAACCCUAGUAGUCC
RNAcentral lists this ribosomal RNA (274 nucleotides) under uncultured bacterium. RNAcentral's name for it is "partial 16S ribosomal RNA". It matches the Rfam family "Bacterial small subunit ribosomal RNA", at positions 523 to 796 of the family's 1533-position model. The record is from RNAcentral.